Molecule: ribosomal RNA, 585 nt
Filed under: uncultured bacterium
Lineage: Bacteria
Description: partial 16S ribosomal RNA
Rfam family: Bacterial small subunit ribosomal RNA
Source: RNAcentral
UGGGGAAUUUUGGACAAUGGGCGAAAGCCUGAUCCAGCAAUGCCGCGUGUGUGAAGAAGGCCUUCGGGUUGUAAAGCACUUUUGUCCGGAAAGAAAUCCUUGGCUCUAAUACAGUCGGGGGAUGACGGUACCGGGAAGAAUAAGCACCGGCUAACUACGUGCCAGCAGCCGCGGUAAUACGUAGGGUGCAAGCGUUAAUCGGAAUUACUGGGCGUAAAGCGUGCGCAGGCGGUUUGCUAAGACCGAUGUGAAAUCCCCGGGCUCAACCUGGGAACUGCAUUGGUGACUGGCAGGCUAGAGUAUGGCAGAGGGGGGUAGAAUUCCACGUGUAGCAGUGAAAUGCGUAGAGAUGUGGAGGAAUACCGAUGGCGAAGGCAGCCCCCUGGGCCAAUACUGACGCUCAUGCACGAAAGCGUGGGGAGCAAACAGGAUUAGAUACCCUGGUAGUCCACGCCCUAAACGAUGUCAACUAGUUGUUGGGGAUUCAUUUCCUAGUAACGUAGCUAACGCGUGAAGUUGACCGCCUGGGGAGUACGGUCGCAAGAUUAAAACUCAAAGGAAUUGACGGGGUCAUAGCUGUUUCCU